UUUGUCUACGGGGCGCAGCAGUAGGGAAUAUUGCUCAAUGGGGGAAACCCUGAAGCAGCAACGCCGCGUGGAGGAUGAAGGUUUUCGGAUUGUAAACUCCUUUUGUUAGAGAAGAUAAUGACGGUAUCUAACGAAUAAGCACCGGCUAACUCCGUGCCAGCAGCCGCGGUAAUACGGAGGGUGCAAGCGUUACUCGGAAUCACUGGGCGUAAAGAGCGAGUAGGCGGGAUAGCAAGUCAGCUGUGAAAUCCUAUGGCUUAACCAUAGAAAUGCAUUUGAAACUGUUAUUCUAGCGUAUGGGAGAG
Molecule: ribosomal RNA, 305 nt
Filed under: uncultured bacterium
Lineage: Bacteria
Description: bacterial SSU rRNA
Rfam family: Bacterial small subunit ribosomal RNA
Source: RNAcentral